Non-coding RNA from Acanthosepion pharaonis, 111 nucleotides. NCBI's taxonomy places the organism in Eukaryota, Metazoa, Mollusca, Cephalopoda, Sepiida, Sepiidae. The record is from the annotation of a GenBank genome assembly.
UCGGACAUAUCACGUUGAAACACCUGUUCCCGUACGAUCGCAAAAGUUAAGCAACGUCGAAUCUGGGCAAUACCUAGAUGGGUAGCCGCUUGUGAAUAUCAGGUGCUGUAC